Molecule: ribosomal RNA, 470 nt
Filed under: uncultured bacterium
Lineage: Bacteria
Description: bacterial SSU rRNA
Rfam family: Bacterial small subunit ribosomal RNA
Source: RNAcentral
AGAGUUUGAUCAUGGCUCAGAACGAACGCUGGCGGCGCGCCUAACACAUGCAAGUCGAGCGCCUCGCAAGAGGAGCGGCGGACGGGUGAGCAACGCGUGGGAACCUGCCCUGGAGUCCGGGACAACCGCGGGAAACUGCGGCUAACACCGGAUGAUCCCCGCAAGGGGGAAAGGUUACGCUCCGGGAUGGGCCCGCGUCCGAUUAGCUAGUUGGCGGGGUAACGGCCCACCAAGGCUACGAUCGGUAGCCGGUCUGAGAGGAUGAUCGGCCACACUGGGACUGAGACACGGCCCAGACUCCUACGGGAGGCAGCAGUGGGGAAUCUUGGACAAUGGGCGAAAGCCUGAUCCAGCGACGCCGCGUGGGUGAUGAAGGCCUUCGGGUUGUAAAGCCCUUUUCCCAGGGACGAUGAUGACGGUACCUGGGGAAUAAGCACCGGCUAACUCCGUGCCAGCCGCCGCGGUAAUUC